Long non-coding RNA from Uloborus diversus, 1297 nucleotides. RefSeq lists it as uncharacterized. The record is from RefSeq and is a predicted model, not a curated record. NCBI's taxonomy places the organism in Eukaryota, Metazoa, Arthropoda, Arachnida, Araneae, Uloboridae. The transcript has 6 exons.
CAAGAUCUAGUUUUAAAAAACUCUAAAAGCUUUAGCAGAAGCAGAAACUAGUGCUUCAGUGCAAUAGUUAAAGACUGGCUGAAUGUACAUUUUAAAAGUUAACUUUAAAGUUUCCCAGCCCUACUUGAUACCAUCAAGUCUCUAAAGAACUGAGAGCUUAUCUCAGCUUAAUUAAAUAUUUUAAAUGUUGAUAACAUCUUAUUUGUCAAGAGCAAUGAGGAUCUCUACACUGUUUUUUGUUGACAAAUUGUCAUUGCAUUGACUAGAGCUUUAAUUUUCUCAACUGUUUUUUUCUUUUCAGUCAUGUUAUUUGGCAUGUGUUAAUGUAAGUAGUAGUUAUGUGUGUCGUAAGUAGCAAUUUAUUUUCUUUGGACCAUCAUGCAAAAAAUGAUUAUUUUUAUUGAAAAUGUUUUUCAUUGUAGGAGAGUUGAAUAAAACUAGGACCUGGCAAUUUUGUCUGAGUUAGUACUUCUAGGUUUCGGAAAGUGCAUGAAACUUGUUGCAGAUUGCUGUCAUGUUAUUUGGGGUUAAGAGAAAGGCAGUGUAGCUUAUUUGUUUGUUGAUGCCAGUGUUUGGAAAAAUUCAAGUGCAGAAAGUUUGAUUUUUACUCCACCGAUUUUACUUUGUAGCUUCUAAUUUCCUGAAGAUUUCCGUUAGUUAUGUGGAGUGAAAGCUAGAUUCCAUUACAAACAUACAAAGCAACUGGCUGGAAAUAGAUCUGCAGGAAGGAAAGAGACUGCAGUUUCAUCCUUGCUAUGGACUCGUCAAUCUGGAAUAGGGAAUAACUGAGCUGGAGGCAGAUGUCAUCUCAUUGAAGUUGAGAGUGACACAAACUGGUCAAUAAAGUAACUUUAUCUCAUCAGGGAGAAUCCGCAGACUCUUGCAAAGAUUCAUAUUUCAUGCAAGCAGUUAAAGACUGUCAAAUGCAAACUGGAAGUAUUUCCCUAAUUAUCAGAAUAUAGGUCUGAAUUCAGCAUCAAAAUGUUUUCCUGUAAAUAUGGUGUCACAUAUUGCUACUAGCUCGUCUAAGAAUCAAGAGAGGAUGAGGAUUCAGACUGCCGUUCCACAGACUAUUGAAAGUCCAGAAAGUUUAGUAACGCUGGAAAAUCUACCGUUUAAGAAGGAUGAAAGCUUCAAGGAGUUGAACAAAAGGAUGGCAAAAGAUAAUAAUAAUAUGCGGCAUUUUAAUAGAUGCAAAGGCAAGAAAAGUUGGCAGAAAACAUUGAUUAAUUGUUAAAAAUAAAUGUAUAACAAAUAUAAUGACUGCUUUUUGUAAUUUUGCAUAAUAAAAAUUGUA